Molecule: small RNA, 827 nt
Filed under: Pongo abelii (Sumatran orangutan)
Lineage: Eukaryota; Metazoa; Chordata; Mammalia; Primates; Hominidae
Description: processed transcript
Source: RNAcentral
UUUCAAACUGCCCAGACAGUUGGACAGGACAUAGACACACAGAAGAAAAGAAGACAAAGAACAGGUAGGAAAAUUAAAAAGGUGACCAUGGGGAAGAAAGUGGCCAUCAUUGGAGCUGGCGUGAGUGGCUUGGCCUCCAUCAGGAGCUGUCUGGAAGAGGGGCUGGAGCCCACCUGCUUUGAGAAGAGCAAUGACAUUGGGGGCCUGUGGAAAUUUUCAACAGAGUUUCUCUCUUGUUGCCCAGGCUGGAGUGCAAUGGCACAAUCUCAGCUCACUACAACCUCCGCCUCCUGGGAUCAAGGGAUUCUCCUGCCUCAGCUUCCCGAGUAGUUGGGAUUACAGGUGUGUGCCAUCACGCCCCGCUAAUUUUUGUAUUUUUAGUAGAGAUGGGGUUUCACCAUGUUGGCCAGGCUAGUCUCGAACUCCUGACCUCAGGUGAUACACCCACCUCAGCCUCCCAAAGUGCUGGAAUUAUAGGCAUGAGCCACCACUCCUGGCCGGCCAUAUCUUAUACACAGUGAUCUUAACCAAAGCCUCAUACUCAAACUUACUUUGCAAGACGUUGCUGAGGAUAGAACGCACUGCUGAUAUGGCUAUUGAGAGGAACACAGCCAAAGACAGCUAAUUUGUCUUUCUUGCUGCUUGAGGAAGACUUUAAAAUUUGAACCUGGCAUCACAGGUUGAUAAAACUGAACUGCAACAUGUGCUACCCUUCAAGAAAAAGAAAGGAUAGCCCAGAGGGUAGAGCCUCAGGCCCUGAGGGCAGAGGCCUGAGCCACAGCCUUCAAGCCUAAUGGAAUUUGUCCUGCUGGAUUUCAAAAUUGCUU